GGAAGCCGGUGAGAAUCCGGCACGGCCCCGCCACUGUGUGAGGCCCGGCGAAAGCCGGAAGAAGCUCGCUCGACACGCCACUGGAAUCCAGAAGUCGGUUCUGGGAAGGCGAGCUGGGCUGCCUCGAGUCAGGAGAC
Molecule: non-coding RNA, 137 nt
Filed under: Gemmatimonas sp.
Lineage: Bacteria; Pseudomonadati; Gemmatimonadota; Gemmatimonadia; Gemmatimonadales; Gemmatimonadaceae
Source: RNAcentral